UACGUAGGGGGCAAGCGUUGUCCGGAAUCAUUGGGCGUACAGAGCGUGUAGGCGGCCAGAUAAGUCCGCUGUGAAAACUCGAGGCUCAACUUCGAGCUGUCGGUGGAAACUAUUUGGCUAGAGUCCGGAAGAGGAGAGUGGAAUUCCUGGUGUAGCGGUGAAAUGCGCAGAUAUCAGGAAGAACACCCGUGGCGAAGGCGACUCUCUGGUACGGAACUGACGCUGAGACGCGAAAGCGUGGGGAGCAAACAGG
Molecule: ribosomal RNA, 253 nt
Filed under: uncultured bacterium
Lineage: Bacteria
Description: partial 16S ribosomal RNA
Rfam family: Bacterial small subunit ribosomal RNA
Source: RNAcentral